AUUCAUGAUCAUAGCCAUGGCUGUUGAUCUUCCUUCUCUAUCCUUCCAGGACCUGAAU
This 58-nucleotide small nucleolar RNA is filed under the name Cuniculiplasma divulgatum. Its description in RNAcentral is "C/D box methylation guide snoRNA". The record is from RNAcentral. Lineage: Archaea; Methanobacteriati; Thermoplasmatota; Thermoplasmata; Thermoplasmatales; Cuniculiplasmataceae.